UACGUAGGGUGCGAGCGUUAAUCGGAAUUACUGGGCGUAAAGUGUGCGCAGGCGGCCGCGCAAGUCGAGUGUGAAAGCCCCGAGCUUAACUUGGGAAUUGCGCUCGAAACUACGUGGCUGGAGUGUGGCAGAGGAAGGUGGAAUUCCACGUGUAGCGGUGAAAUGCGUAGAGAUGUGGAGGAACACCAAUGGCGAAGGCAGCCUUCUGGGCCAACACUGACGCUCAUGCGCGAAAGCGUGGGGAGCAAACAGG
Molecule: ribosomal RNA, 253 nt
Filed under: uncultured bacterium
Lineage: Bacteria
Description: partial 16S ribosomal RNA
Rfam family: Bacterial small subunit ribosomal RNA
Source: RNAcentral